GCGUCAUUUCAACCAUCAAGCCCCCGGCUUGUGUUGGGGACCUGCGGCUGCCGCAGGCCCUGAAAUCAGUGGCGGGCUCGCUAGUCACUCCGAGCGUAGUAAUACAUCUCGCUUAGGACGUGCUGCGGGUUCCGGCCGUAAAAACACCUUAUUUACCCAAGGUUGACCUCGGAUCAGGUAGGGAUACCCGCUGAACUUAA
This 200-nucleotide unclassified non-coding RNA is filed under the name soil metagenome. Its description in RNAcentral is "partial contains internal transcribed spacer 2 and large subunit ribosomal RNA". The record is from RNAcentral.